RNAcentral lists this transfer RNA (66 nucleotides) under Dipseudopsis sp. XG-2021. RNAcentral describes it as "tRNA-Met". Lineage: Eukaryota; Metazoa; Arthropoda; Insecta; Trichoptera; Dipseudopsidae. The record is from RNAcentral.
UUAAAAAUAAGCUAAAUAAGCUAAUGAACUCAUACUUCAUCUAUAAAGACAUUCUCUUUUUUUUAA